AUCAAUAACGAAGUAAAUAAAAAAUCAAAAACCAUUAAAAACAAAAAUCGAGCAGACCAUUUCCCUUCCUCUCCUAGGAUGAAGACGUGGGAAGGAUUUCCCAGCGCUCACCUGAGGGAGGGGACAGGGCAGAGCCCACCCCAGGCUGCAGCUCGGUCCGGGCAGUGCCGAACCUCGCGCUGGGGGUCCGGACCCUGGGACAGGGUGGCAUCGGGAGCCACAAACCACAGCAGCCGCGGCCACAUCCUGCUCCCGCGACUCCCUGCGCCGAAUCCUGAGGGAGCCGGGGGUCCCGCAGGGAUCUGGGGGUGCCUCAUCACCCCCGGCUGUCGCAAGCAGGGUCUGACCCCCCAGUCAGACACCCCGCAGAGGGAAUUCCCACGAGGAAACCAGCGAUCCCCAAACCCGUGCCAGGGCAGGGAACCAGAUCCCACGAGCCGCUGUCCGGAGGGGAGGGGGCCAGACACGGCCAAGGUCAGCGGCGGGGGCCAGGGCUGCGCUCGGGUUUCCCUCCCGGCCCAGCGCCACGUCCCAAAGCCACCGGUCUGGAAAGCUCCGCUCCAGGCGCUAUGGCAGGGCGGCUUCCCACAGCACGCUCUCCCCAAAACAAGAGCCUCCCGAAAUCCGGAGCCUGCCCGCGCUGGGUCAAGCUCCGGCAGGGAGUUGUGCCAAGGGAUUUAAAAAUCAGGCCCUGACACACGGGAUUUAAAAAAAAAAAAAAAAAAAAAAAAAAAAAAAAAAAAAAAAAAAAAGGAGUUCUGUGGUUCCAGUAAGGCUUCGUGCGUUUGUUUCCGCAGUCCAGGUGCCGUGUGUGUCCGCACCACGUCACGGGGCGUCUCUCUGCAGCGCUCUGCCCGCCAGGGCGCAGCCUCAAAUCCCCAAAUUGAGAAGGAAUUAAAAAUAAAACCAACAAAACCAAACAAUUUGGGGCUCACAAAGCCCCGGGAUUUAGGCCAUCCAAUCUUUUUCUUUUUUUUUUUUUUUUUUUCUCCUUUUUUUUUUUUUUUUUCCUCUUGUUAAGAUAUUUAUUAGGGUAGCUUACAGUGUUAACACUAAAUUGCAGUUUACAGUGUUUCUACAUUACAGCCAUAUGACAUCAAGCCUUUGAUUGUCUGUUUUUCUUUCUUUUGCUAGUUCUUUUGGCUUGCCUUCCUGAGCAGUCCUGGCCUGUGGACUGGCUUUAGCUAUUCUGUGUCGCCCAAGGCAAGAAGAUCGCCCGCCCGAGGAACAUCAAAGCUGCUCUAGUUUUUUGGUCAACAGCUUAACAGGUGCUUGGCUAGCGGCUGUUUCAACUAUUUUAAGUCCACAGCAAAAGGUUUAAGAACUUAAUUAGACAAGGGGGAAGUGUUUAAACUUAAAGAAAAAAAAAUGCCACUUAAAUAAUAAAAAAAAAAUAAUAAAAAAAAAUUAAAAAAAAAUAUUGAGCAUUCAGGUCUGUAUGUCAUGUACUGUGUUUGGUAUUUCAAAAGACCAUCCUGGUUUAAGGUGCCACAGCUGCUUCCUCAGGGAUUGCACUGCCAUUUCACUCUGCCUGACUUUCUCCCACUGUACCAUGAGGUUUGUCAGCAGAUCUCCAGCACCCAGGCUCCCUUGUUUGUCACCAGGGAAGCCAGGUGCGUUUUCCUUUCUCCUGGGGAAGCUUGUGGUGUAAUGAGUGAACUUCAGGAGCUUAGAAACUAAUUUGGUAGAGAAAUUCCUCAAGAGGAAGAGCUACAAUCAUAGACAUUUCUAUCCACCAUCGGGAGCCCAGGAACUUAGUUCUCUUCUUAGCAAAAUCUUUUCCAAGUCUGUCUGAUCUGGCUGGGGGUGGGGGACGGGUCAUCUGAGUUGCUUAGCAGGUAAUAUUUACCCCAUUUUGAGUAAGUUUAGCUUUGAUUUUGAUUUUCCCAUGGUUGUUGUUGGAGGUUCACUGCCGUUCUCUGGCUCGCAGAGCGCUGCGCCCUGCGGCGCUUCACCCAACGCUGUGCAGUGAGAGGAAACCGCACUCGUGCUUUUAUUCUUUAUUAAACAUUGGUCUGAUUUUGGAAACAGGCUUUCAUUGUCCCUUUGAGAGUCAGCCCGACACGGCGUCGUGGUGUGGCACACACGGCACAGCCGCUCCUGCUGCCGGGGCGUGCGGGGGGACGCGGCUCCGGCUCCCUCCCCGCUGUCCCGAAGCCGCUGCCCGGCUCCCCCAGGAGCGAGCGGGGCCAGGCCGUGCUCAGCCCCCGGACACUGCCCCGGUGGUGCUGGAAUAGCUUUUCCUGGCCGGGAUUCAUCCACCCAAAGUCAGGCCCAGGCGCUUUGCAGGGAUUUGGGGUGCAGCAUCCCGCGGCGAGGGGCCCGCGGUGCCAGUGCGUGCCGGGACCGGGAGAUGCUUUAGGCUUCUUACCUCCCUCUCAUCAACCCCCGUGUCCCGUGAGCAGUGUUGUCCCAGCUGUACAAUUUGGAAGUGAUUUACUGGAAUUACAAAACCUAUCUUUUUUUUUUUUUUUUUUUAAAUUACUACUCUUUUUGGCUUUUGCUCUGGCUGCUUUAGGAAACUUAUGCAGGAGAGAUGGCACAAGAGGGCUAAAAACGGAGUGGGGGUCAGGGACUUGAUUUUUAAGCAGCUUGAAUGGUUUCUUUCAUUUUUUAAGAGAUGCACUUGCCUAUGAUACUGUCUCUCCAGUGAAAUGAUUACUGCUCCAUUACUCUAUUGAUACAAUAUUGUGCAUGCUAGUGUCGUAUUUCUAUACAGUAGCUUGAAAUUUAUUAACUUAUACUGUAGAUGUUAUGUAUUCCUAUGACAAAAUAGUCUUCAAAAAUUUUCUAAAGUUUUUUAAUUUAUUUUUCUUUCCUUUUUUUUUUUCGGGGGUAAAGUUUGCUCUACCAAAUAGUGAUCGUAACAAACUGAUCUGUUAUGGAUGUUGCUAUAGUGACAUGCAAUUAUAUAUGAUUUUGUUUUUAAAAAGGAAAAAAAAAAAAGCAAAAGAAAACACCAGUGUUAGCUUAAUCUUAAUGUCUGGUGUUCGUCAUGGUGAAAUUAUAACUAUUACAGUGUAGGAGAACAAUGACUGUGUUCUUUGAAUGAGCCUUUGUUUGUGCUUUUUGUCAUGUUAUGCAGUGAACUAUUUUUAAGGUCUAAUCAGUGAUUAUUUUUCCAACUCCGUGUUUCUGUAAGGAAUUAUUUCACACACGGACCAUUCUUAGCAGUUUUUCCUCAGUGAUGGAAUAUCAUGAAUGUGAGUCAUUAUGUAGCCGUCGUACAUUGAGCAAAUAAACUUACAGAUCUGACGUCAGCGCUGCUUAA
Long non-coding RNA from Pseudopipra pipra, 3271 nucleotides. RefSeq lists it as uncharacterized. The transcript has 2 exons. The record is from RefSeq and is a predicted model, not a curated record. Lineage: Eukaryota; Metazoa; Chordata; Aves; Passeriformes; Pipridae.